This 439-nucleotide ribosomal RNA is filed under the name uncultured eukaryote. Its description in RNAcentral is "bacterial SSU rRNA". It matches the Rfam family "Eukaryotic small subunit ribosomal RNA", at positions 629 to 1053 of the family's 1831-position model. The record is from RNAcentral.
UGUACUUAAUUGUAUGGGAUAUCACCUAGCCAGUGGAACUUUAGUAGAAUAAUGCCUUUUUUAAUACCAGAGUGUAAAACUUGAAGUGUUAAAUUGGGGUAACAUUAUUUUAUUGAAGUGGGGUUCUAGUUAAUUUACUUUGAGUAAAUUAGAGUGUUCAAAGCAGCCUCUUGGGGCUUUGAAUAGAUUUAGCAUGGGAUAAUAGAAAAGGAUUUGAUAAUCUAUUUGUUGGUUUGAAUUAAUCAAAUAAUGAUUAAUAGGGACAGUUGGGGGCAUUCAUAUUAAGUGGUUAGCGGUGAAAUGUGUGGACCCACUUAAGAUGAACUAAAGCGAAAGCAUUUGCCAAGGAUGUUUUCAUUAAAUCAAGAACGAAAGUUAAGGGAUCGAAGACGAUUAGAUACCGUCGUAGUCUUGACUGUAAACUAUGCCGACCAGGGAU